UAAGGAAUAUUGCUCAAUGGGAGAAAUCCUGAAGCAGCAACGCCGCGUGGAGGAUGAAGGGUCUAUGACUUGUAAACUCCUGUAAAGAAGGAAAAAAUUCCCAUUUGAUGGGAGAUGAUGGUACUUCUGGAGUAAGCCCCGGCUAACUACGUGCCAGCAGCCGCGGUAAUACGUAGGGGGCAAGCGUUGUCCGGAUUUACUGGGUGUAAAGGGUGCUCAGGCGGAUUUGUAAGUCAGAGGUGAAAUCUUACAGCUUAACUGUGAAACUGCCUUUGAUACUGCAAGCCUAGAGUAUGGAAGAGAGUGAUGGAAUAUCUGGUGUAGCAGUGAAAUGCGUAGAUAUCAGAUAGAACACCAAUGGCGAAGGCAGUAACUUGGUCCAUUACUGACGCUAAAGCACGAAAGCGUGGGUAGCAAACA
This 420-nucleotide ribosomal RNA is filed under the name uncultured bacterium. RNAcentral's name for it is "bacterial SSU rRNA". It matches the Rfam family "Bacterial small subunit ribosomal RNA", at positions 355 to 774 of the family's 1533-position model. The record is from RNAcentral.